This 97-nucleotide ribosomal RNA is filed under the name uncultured bacterium. RNAcentral's name for it is "partial 16S ribosomal RNA". The record is from RNAcentral.
CCGUGCGGGAUGAAGGCCUUCGGGUUGUAAACCGCUUCAUCAGGGACGAAGCGAGAGUGACGGUACCUGGAGAAGAAGCGCCGGCUAACUAACGUGC